This 460-nucleotide ribosomal RNA is filed under the name uncultured bacterium. RNAcentral describes it as "partial 16S ribosomal RNA". It matches the Rfam family "Bacterial small subunit ribosomal RNA", at positions 338 to 795 of the family's 1533-position model. The record is from RNAcentral.
CCUACGGGAGGCUGCAGUGAGGAAUAUUCGUCAAUGGCCGUAAGGCUGAACCAGCCCAGUCGCGUGAAGGAAGUAGGAUCUAUGGUUUGUAAACUUCUUUUAUAGGGGAAUAAAGGUAUCCACGUGUGGAUAUUUGCAUGUACCCUAUGAAUCAGCAUCGGCUAACUCGGUGCCAGCAGCCGCGGUAAUACGGAGGAUGCGAGCGUUAUCCGGAUUUAUUGGGUUUAAUGGGUGCGUAGGUUGUUGAGUAAGUCAGCGGUGAAAGUUUGUGGCUCAACCAUAAAAUUGCCGUUGAAACUGGUAGACUUGAGUGUAGUUGAGGUAAGCGGAAUGCGUGGUGUAGCGGUGAAAUGCAUAGAGAUCACGCGGAACACCAGUUGCGAAGGCGGAUUACUGGACCGUAACUGACGCUGAGGCUCGAAAGCGUGGGGAGCAAACAGGAUUAGAUACCCGAGUAGUC